This 393-nucleotide ribosomal RNA is filed under the name uncultured bacterium. Its description in RNAcentral is "bacterial SSU rRNA". It matches the Rfam family "Bacterial small subunit ribosomal RNA", at positions 355 to 764 of the family's 1533-position model. The record is from RNAcentral.
UAGGGAAUAUUGCAAAAUGGGCGAAAGCCCGAUGCAGCAACGCCGCGUGGGCGAUGAAGGCCUUCGGGUCGUAAAGCCCUUUUUGAGGGGAUGAGGAAGGACAGUACCCUCAGAAUAAGCCUCGGCUAACUACGUGCCAGCAGCCGCGGUAAAACGUAGGAGGCGAGCGUUACCCGGAUUUACUGGGCGUAAAGCGCGUGCAGGCGGAUUGGAGAGUUGGAUGUGAAAGCUCCCGGCUUAACUGGGAGAGGUCGUUCAAUACUUCCAGUCUUGAGUGCAGUAGAGGGAAGUGGAAUUCCGGGUGUAGUGGUGAAAUGCGUAGAUAUCCGGAGGAACACCAGUGGCGAAAGCGGCUUCCUGGACUGUAACUGACGCUCAGACGCGAAAGCUAGG